AUGGGCCCUCGAAAUCCUGUGGCCGGAGGAUUCAGUUCGGAGUAGGCGGCCGUGCAGGCGGGACUGGAACGGGGGAUCCUAUCAAGGACCCGCCCGCCGGCGCGCCGUCGCCCUCUCCGAACGCAUUUGUCUCCGGCCCGAAGGACGCCGCGACCGGUUGGGGACCGGACUGAGGGGCGUGCGGGGAAGUUCGCCGUGGGACCCGUAAGGGUCCCGCGGACGUUGUCCCCGUCGCCAGUGUCUCGGUGCCCGACCGUGGUGUCGCUAGGCCCGUCAGGGCCUCCACCGCCUCCUCCAUUCGCUUGGACGCCGGGUGUCGGCGGCAGGGGUUCCUCCCCCUCGGCGGGCGCACGGAUCGACGCCGUGGCCCAGCCUUGGGAGUGCCUCGUUGGCUGCCGAAAGGACCCGUUGGAGUUGCCGGCGGUCAGCGGCGAGUAGAUCGGUCACCCAUCCGACCCGUCUUGAAACACGGACCAAGGAGUCUAACAUGUGCGCGAGUCAAUGGGUCUCGAACAAGCCCAGAGGCGCAAUGAAAGCGAAGAACGGCAUCAGCCGUGCGAGUCGAGAUCUCCCGUCCAGAGAGGGCGGGAGCGCAUCGACGACCCGUCCCGUCGGGCUUGCCCGUACGGCGGAGUUUGAGCGUACACGUUGGGACCCGAAAGAUGGUGAACUAUGCCCGGGCAGGACGAAGCCAGAGGAAACUCUGGUGGAGGUCCGUAGCGGUUCUGACGUGCAAAUCGAUCGUCAGAUCCGGGUCUAGGGGCGAAAGACCGAUCGAAUCAUC
RNAcentral lists this ribosomal RNA (784 nucleotides) under Gertschanapis shantzi. Its description in RNAcentral is "eukaryotic LSU rRNA". The stretch from base 365 to 784 matches the Rfam family "Eukaryotic large subunit ribosomal RNA", at positions 1 to 944 of the family's 3401-position model. Lineage: Eukaryota; Metazoa; Arthropoda; Arachnida; Araneae; Anapidae. The record is from RNAcentral.